GAGGUGUAGCGCAGUUUGGUAGCGCACAUGGUUUGGGACCAUGGGGCCGGGGGUUCGAGUCCCUGAUGGCCCACCA
This 76-nucleotide transfer RNA is filed under the name Clostridioides difficile. Its description in RNAcentral is "tRNA-Pro(tgg)". The stretch from base 7 to 65 matches the Rfam family "tRNA", at positions 8 to 63 of the family's 71-position model. From Rfam's summary of the family: Transfer RNA (tRNA) molecules are approximately 80 nucleotides in length. Lineage: Bacteria; Bacillati; Bacillota; Clostridia; Peptostreptococcales; Peptostreptococcaceae. The record is from RNAcentral.